This is a non-coding RNA of Corchorus olitorius, 304 nucleotides long. Lineage: Eukaryota; Viridiplantae; Streptophyta; Magnoliopsida; Malvales; Malvaceae. The record is from Rfam.
GCCGAGCUGGGUAACGCUAGCUUGUAACCCGAGUGGGGGCUUUGAGGUGAUUGGACGAUGACUCGGCCCACCAGUCAGGGCCAAUGGGUGCGUCUUUCUGGCCCGCCCGUUCCAAGUCGAGAGUUGAGCCAUGUGGCCCGAGCGAAGGCUUGGGCCUCGUGGCUCCUAGAGUGGAGGGCACCGCGUGAGGCUGGUUUCACAGAGCAGCGAAAACCUCCCGCUUUCGACAGUGGAAGGAUAACGGGCCGGUGCAUCCAUGACCCGAAUUGGCUGGUGGGCUGAGAUCAAUCGGACAAUUACCUUU